Molecule: ribosomal RNA, 301 nt
Filed under: uncultured bacterium
Lineage: Bacteria
Description: partial 16S ribosomal RNA
Rfam family: Bacterial small subunit ribosomal RNA
Source: RNAcentral
CAGUCGCCGCGGUAAAACGGAGGGGGCUAGCGUUGUUCGGAAUUACUGGGCGUAAAGCGCACGUAGGCGGCUUGGUAAGUUAGAGGUGAAAGCCCGGAGCUCAACUCCGGAAUUGCCUUUAAGACUGCCGAGCUAGUAGGUGAGAGAGGUAAGUGGAAUUCCGAGUGUAGAGGUGAAAUUCGUAGAUAUUCGGAAGGACACCAGUGGCGAAGGCGGCUUACUGGCUCAUUCUAGACGCUGAGGUGCGAAAGCGUGGGGAGCAAACAGGAUUAGAUACCCCCGUAGUCCCUGUCUCUUAUAC